CUGGGAGCCUGGAGGCUUGAGCUCUGGAGCUGGGUUUAGGCAGCCGUUUAAUUUCGUGCAUUAACUCACUGAACUGAGGUAUUUGAAAACCUCCUCUCUCCCUAAGACUUUCUUAUUGCCUCCAAGAGGCUCCAUCCUUCAAUAGCACUUAUCCACCCAACAACCGGGCUGGGGGAGCAGUAGUGUCUCUAUGGCAUAAACGAAGAAACUGUGACUCAGAGAGGCUGAGUAAACUCCUUGAUGCUGUACAACUACAUACAGUGAUGAAUGUGAGAUUCAGACUUGGAUUUGUCUGGCUCCAAAAUCUCUGUUCCUUCCAUGACAAUAAAACAAAGGAGAAGAAGAGUGAGAGGUGGUACGUCUAGAUGGCCAGGUGAAAACCGAGCACUGCUGAGAAGCCCCGAGGAAAAGUGCAGCCUCCACACGAAGUUUUAUUAUUGGCUUCUGGGGAAGUGAUGAGGUGGAGACUUGGGCCCAGGAAGCCUAAAUCACUUGUCUGAGGCCUCACAGCAGGAACCGGGACCAGUACCCCGAGUGAUGACUUCAGGCUUAGGUCACCGUUUUACAUCUCACCAUAAUCAGAGGGUGGACUCCCCAUUCUUCACUCAGCAACCAGAGUUGCUGAAAGGCAGGUCCUACUGAUGCUCCGAGAGCUGAAAAUGGGAGAAGGUGAUGAAACGGACCAGAGUACUCCUUGCCAGCGGGACACAGGGCUUUCCAAGUAGGUAACUAUGACAGUGAUCAUGCCAAGGGACAGAACAGGAGGUCCCCUCUGGGUAAACAGGACGUGCUUCUCCUUGUGACCCCUGGCUGACCUCCCAAGGGGAAGAGCCAAAGUAAUCAGCAUCUCUGGCCAGCAAAAUCAGCGUCAGCAACAACUGAGGCUCAGAGAACUCCCUGGCCUGAGGAAGGACCAGAGCAAUGAUGCAGCAGCAUUUCUAGGCAGUGAAUGAUAGUAAUACUACAGAGGCUCAUUGAUUCUCCUUUUGUUCUCCACCGCCCGUCACAUUCU
Globicephala melas (long-finned pilot whale) is the source of this 1012-nucleotide non-coding RNA. The record is from RefSeq and is a predicted model, not a curated record. NCBI's taxonomy places the organism in Eukaryota, Metazoa, Chordata, Mammalia, Artiodactyla, Delphinidae.